AUAGCACGAGUUAAUUAGUGCUACAAUUUUAAAUUUUGAGUUAAUAAAAUAAAAUUUUAAAAAAUAUAUGGUAGAGUAGAAAAAUAAAUAUUUAUAAGUAUUUAUGAAGUUCAGCAGCCAGACUAUGAUUUCGUUUGGGAUUGCGGGGAGAUUACGUUACAUGCGGUAAGAAACGACGAUGAAAAAAUAUCCUAGCUUGUUUGUUUUCGUACGUAAUAUUGCGUUCCGUAUAUUGUAAUUAGUCGGUUACGAUAUAUUUUCUGCGGUCCUAUUGGAGAACGUAGAAACAAAUCCGCAUAUACUUUUUCUCAACUCCAUUCUAUUUAAUAGCUUUAGAUCCACCUCAUUACCAAACUAAGCCUAUAUUUAGAAGUACGAAAGGUUUACUAUUAUUAACUUUCUAGUCAAUAAAUUCUUUUGGCUCUUAAAUCAUGCACAAUA
This 441-nucleotide long non-coding RNA is filed under the name Ananas comosus (pineapple). RNAcentral describes it as "long non-coding RNA (ACOM_LNC001689)". Lineage: Eukaryota; Viridiplantae; Streptophyta; Magnoliopsida; Poales; Bromeliaceae. The record is from RNAcentral.